Molecule: ribosomal RNA, 446 nt
Filed under: uncultured bacterium
Lineage: Bacteria
Description: partial 16S ribosomal RNA
Rfam family: Bacterial small subunit ribosomal RNA
Source: RNAcentral
CCUACGGGUGGCAGCAGUCGAGAAUCAUGCACAAUGGGGGAAACCCUGAUGGGGCGACGCCGCGUGGGGGAAUGAAGGUCUGCGGAUUGUAAACCCCUGUCAUGUGGGAGCAAAUUAAAAAGAUAGUACCACAAGAGGAAGAGACGGCUAACUCUGUGCCAGCAGCCGCGGUAAUACAGAGGUCUCAAGCGUUGUUCGGAAUCACUGGGCGUAAAGGGUGCGUAGGCUGUUGCGUAAGUCGUGUGUGAAAGGCGCGGGCUCAACCCGCGGACGGCACUUGAUACUGCGAGACCAGAGUAAUGGAGGGGGAACCGGAAUUCUCGGUGUAGCAGUGAAAUGCGUAGAUAUCGGGAGGAACACUCGUGGCGAACGCGGGUUCCUGGACAUUAACUGACGCUGAGGCACGAAGGCCAGGGGAGCGAAAGGGAUUAGAUACCCGUGUAGUC